Molecule: transfer RNA, 71 nt
Filed under: Candidatus Iainarchaeum sp.
Lineage: Archaea; Nanobdellati; Candidatus Iainarchaeota; Candidatus Iainarchaeia; Candidatus Iainarchaeales; Candidatus Iainarchaeaceae
Description: tRNA-Val
Rfam family: tRNA
About the family: Transfer RNA (tRNA) molecules are approximately 80 nucleotides in length. Their secondary structure includes four short double-helical elements and three loops (D, anti-codon, and T loops).
Source: RNAcentral
AGGCCCGUGGUUUAAUGGUAGAAUGGCACACUUACACUGUGUUGAAAGGAGUUCGAUUCUCCUCGGGCCUA